Molecule: long non-coding RNA, 286 nt
Filed under: Brassica napus (rape)
Lineage: Eukaryota; Viridiplantae; Streptophyta; Magnoliopsida; Brassicales; Brassicaceae
Description: long non-coding RNA (BNAP_LNC006669)
Source: RNAcentral
CCAGAGGAAGACACAAAGGCAGAAGGACGACUGGGACAGAACUGAAGAACUCUCUCUGCUGAGACACCGAAGCAUGAACAGAGAAGAAAAGCCAGCAGCCUCACUAUCGUAGUGGACUCAUCACUCCGGCCGGAUCUGAGACAGAGAAGCACAGAUCUAACAACUUGACAAAUCUGUAACAACAAGAAACCCAGAUCUACAAAAGCUUGAUAACAAAUCCGAAAAUGAAUCACAGAUCUGUCAUCAAAUAGCUUUAAAAAUGGUUAACAAAAGCAAUCUAAGCCAU